Molecule: ribosomal RNA, 219 nt
Filed under: uncultured bacterium
Lineage: Bacteria
Description: partial 16S ribosomal RNA
Rfam family: Bacterial small subunit ribosomal RNA
Source: RNAcentral
UAAACGUCCCAGUUCGGACUGUAGUCUGCAACCCGACUACACGAAGCUGGAAUCGCUAGUAAUCGCGAAUCAGAAUGUCGCGGUGAAUACGUUCCCGGGUCUUGUACACACCGCCCGUCACACCAUGGGAGUCGGUAACACCCGAAGCCGAUAGUCUAACGAAAGAGGACGUCGUCGAAGGUGGGAUUGAUGACUGGGGUGAAGUCGUAACAAGGUACC